CUCGGCUGGCUCGCCUGGCCGGAGCUCGGAGCGGCGGCGGCGACGACCGAGCUCUGGGGCCGCUCCUCCCCGGCCCGGCCCCGGCCCCGCUCCGCCCGGCCCCGGCCUUUCCCCGGCAGGUUUCCAUGAAGAUAAACAAUUGAAAUGUGGAUAGCCUAUUUGUAGCUUGGUGGUGGUUGUCAUCUGGAACCUGCUGGUGGCUCCUCCCAGUAGCUGGUGUCACGUUGGCUGCUAAAAGCCAUGAAGGUUGUACCGGAGAAGAAUGCUGUCCGCAUCCUGUGGGGUAGGGAACGGGGCACCCAAGCCUUGGGUGCUCAGCGGCUCCUGCAGGAGUUGGUGGAGGAUAAAACUCGAUGGAUGAAAUGGGAGGGCAAGAAAGUUGAGUUACCAGACAGUCCACGCUCCACCUUCUUGCUGGCGUUUAGUCCAGACAGGACCCUAAUGGCUUCCACACAUGUGAACCACAACAUCUACAUCACAGAGGUGAAAACGGGCAAAUGUGUUCAUUCCUUGGUUGGACAUCGCCGCACUCCCUGGUGUGUCACCUUCCAUCCCACCAUCCCGGGUCUCAUUGCUUCAGGAUGCCUAGAUGGGGAGGUUAGAAUUUGGGAUUUACACGGUGGAAGUGAGAGCUGGUUCACAGAUAGCAACAAUGCCAUCGCAUCGCUUGCUUUUCAUCCUACGGCUCAGCUCUUGCUGAUUGCAACUGCCAACGAGAUACAUUUCUGGGACUGGAGUCGUCGGGAGCCCUUUGCAGUGGUGAAAACAGCUAGUGAAAUGGAGCGGGUCAGGCUGGUACGGUUUGAUCCCUUGGGACACUACUUGCUCACAGCAAUUGUUAACCCUUCUAACCAGCAGAGUGAUGAGGAAGUGGAAAUCUCCGUGGACAGCACAGAGCUGCCGCAUUACCGCCAGCGCGCUAUCCUUCCGUCUCAGCCCGUGAGGCGCACACCCCUCCUCCACAACUUCCUGCAUAUGUUGUCCUCCCGCUCCUCUGGCAUACAGGUGGGAGAGCAAAACAGUGUUCAAGACUCUGCUACCCCAUCCCCUCCACCGCCUCCACCACCACCACCUCCGCCUCCAGCCAGUGAGAACACAAGGGCAUCUGUCUAUAACAGGCUCCGAGAGCGUGUCAGCUAUCCCACAGCAGAGUGCUGCCAGCACCUGGGGAUGUUGUGCCUUUGCAGCCGAUGCUCUAGUGCAAGACUUCCUUCUUCUCUCUUCCCACACCAGGAAAACGCACCCUCCACGUCUUCUGGGGCCACUGGCACUUCCUUCUCCUCUGUGCAGACAGAGCCUUAUCAACCCCCAGAGCAGGCAUCCGUAGCGCAGGAGGAGCAGGGGAUACUUAACAGGCCCUCUGCUUUCAGCACAGUUCAGAGCAGCACUGCUGGCAACACCCUGCGCAACCUUAGCCUGGGCCCCACGCGGAGGUCCCUCAGCGGGCCCUUGGCAGGCCACCAGUCCCGGUACCAACAGUCUGCAAGAGAGAUGGCUUCAGGCUUAGGUGGGUCUGACUGGUCCAGGACAGUGCUGAACAUGAGCUCUCGGUCAGAGCUGGAAGCCAUGCCUCCCCCUAGGACCAGUGCCUCCUCCGUGAGCUUGCUGUCAGUGCUGAGACAGCAGGAGGGAGGUUCCCAGGCAUCAGUCUAUACCUCUGCAACAGAAGGGAGGGGCUUUCUGGCCCCAGGGGCUGAGGUGGACAGUGGUAGUGGUGCUGGCCCGAGCAAUCCGGCCAGCAUCCGUAAUGAGCUCCAGUGUGAUUUGAGGCGAUUCUUCCUGGAAUAUGACCGGCUUCAGGAGUUAGAUCAGGGGAUUGGUGGGGAGCCCAGCCAGUCGCAACAGGCUCAAGAAAUGCUCAACAACAACAUUGAGCCUGAUCGGCCGGGUCCCUCCCAUCAGCAGACUCCACACAGCAGUGAAAACAGUUCCAAUUUGUCCCGGGGUCACCUGAACCGCUGUCGUGCUUGUCAUAACCUGCUGACCUUUAACAAUGACACGCUGCGCUGGGAGAGAAGCACGCCUAGCUACACAGCAGGGCAGGUCCAGAGCACGUUUGAGGGUGUACCUCCAAAUACCAGCCAGGUGCAGCCUGCAGAGAGAACCGAGGGCAGAGCUCCUGCCUCUGGCAGGCUGCAGCUGGGCAGCUCUUCCACCCCGCAGGAGGAGAGGACCGUGGGAGUGGUCUUUAACCAGGAGACGGGGCACUGGGAAAGAGUUUACAGCCAGUCGGCUUCAAGCAGACCUGGGAAUGUAUCACAGGAGGCCUUAAACCAGGAAAUGCCUGAGGAAAGCUCAGAGGAGGAUUCACUCAGGAGGAGGUUGCUGGAGUCUUCCCUCAUUUCGUUAUCUCGCUAUGAUGGAGCAGGGUCCCGGGAACAUCCAAUCUACCCAGACCCAGCCAGGUUGUCUCCUGCUGCAUAUUAUGCUCAGAGGAUGAUCCAGUAUCUUUCCCGGAGGGACAGUAUUCGACAACGCUCUAUGAGAUACCAACAAAACCGUCUCCGCUCUUCCUCCUCCUCUUCUUCCACUUCAGAGAACUCAAGCCCAUCUGUAGAGGGAAAUGAUCUGGAAUUUGAAGACUUUGAAAGGGACAAUGGAGACCGAUCCAGGCACCGAGCUCCUCGGAAUGCCCGCAUGUCUGCACCGUCGCUGGGGCGCUUUGUCCCAAGACGCUUCUUGCUGCCAGAGUACUUGCCUUAUGCUGGGAUUUUCCAUGAACGGGGACAACCUGGCUUGGCCACCCAUUCCUCUGUCAACAGGGUUUUGGCAGGUGCUGUGAUUGGGGAUGGACAGUCAGCUGUGGCCAGUAACAUUGCCAACACAACCUACCGGCUCCAGUGGUGGGACUUCACUAAAUUUGAUCUGCCUGAAAUCAGCAAUGCCUCUGUGAAUGUGCUUGUUCAAAACUGCAAGAUUUACAAUGACGCUAGCUGCGAUAUCUCUGCUGAUGGGCAGCUGCUGGCAGCCUUCAUUCCCAGCAGCCAGAGAGGCUUCCCUGAUGAAGGAAUACUGGCUGUGUAUUCUCUGGCACCACACAACUUGGGCGAGAUGCUCUACACAAAGCGUUUUGGCCCUAAUGCCAUUUCUGUGAGCCUGUCGCCAAUGGGUAGAUACGUAAUGGUGGGACUGGCUUCCCGACGCAUCCUGCUGCACCCCUCCACUGAACAUAUGGUUGCUCAAGUCUUCAGGCUGCAACAGCCCCACGGUGGAGAAACCUCUAUGAGGAGAGUUUUCAACGUUCUGUACCCAAUGCCUGCCGACCAGAGAAGACAUGUCAGCAUCAACUCUGCUCGCUGGCUGCCUGAGCCAGGCCUGGGAUUGGCAUAUGGCACCAACAAAGGGGACCUGGUGAUUUGCCGACCAGAGGCCUUAAACUCUGGAGUUGAGUACCACUGGGACCAGAUGAAUGAGAACGUCUUCACUGUGCAUUCCAGCAGCAGGAGCACUGAGCGGCCUGGCACUUACAGUCAGAGGUCAGUUUUGGAAAGAGCAUCCAAGCACUGUCAAGAUUCAGCUCUUGAAGUAUCGUACACUUCAACUGUUUGAUUCUGAGUAGCUAAUGAGCCUUGAGGUGGUUCCUGUUGUUUGCUUUUGAGAACAGAGAAUUUCUCCUGUCUGACUGGAACGGGCAGAAAUGCCUGCUGGAGUGCAUUCAUGUGUGAUGCUGACAAACCAGGAGGUCCAGAGAAGGGAAGGGAUACAGGCUGUGUCCUUGGGAGUUAAAACCACCCUGCUGACACGCAGAGAAAGGUUGUGUGUGUGUUUGUGAUCCUGUGCUGCACGUCCUGUUGCCUACUCAACUCAGUGACCCCGAGACAGAGUUGUACUGAAGGCUUAGUGAUGCUGCAGGGAUCUCUAUCUGUGCCUGUCAGAUACGCUGCUUCCGUGGAAGGGUGAGUGGACUGCAAGACUCUGUUGGCUUAAAACUCAAGGGACCAGCCAGCUGAGGCUGGGGAGGGAUGUCGGUGUGUGUGCAGGGCACAGUUCCCUCCAGCCCCAUCUGCGUACUGGCUAGCAGAUGCCUGGUUGGACUGGAGGCAAGAAGAGGCUCAGGUGGAUGCUUCAGUCUUUCUGGGGCUCUUUGCCUCCAAUGCUCCUGGUCUUACUUGUUUUUCUCUCUUUUCAGAACCAGCAGAGCCACAUGGAGGACAGACAGGGACAUGGGCCUGAUGAAUGCCAUAGGCCUGCAACCCCGAAACCCCCCCACCUCUGUGACUUCGCAGGGUACCCAGACCUUGGCGCCUCAGCUGCAGAAUGCCGAGACUCAGACAGAGAGGGAGGUACAGGAGCAGGAAUCCGCCUCUGCGGGGACUGGGGAAGGUGAAGGGCCAGACUAUGGGGCCAGUGGGGAGGAUGCCCUGAGUAGGAUCCAAAGGCUGAUGACAGAAGGUGGCAUGACUGCCGUGGUCCAGCGGGAGCAGAGCACCACCAUGGCGUCCAUGGGUGGCUUUGGCAACAACAUCAUCGUGAGCCACCGGAUCCACCGCAGCUCUCAGACCGGUGCAGAGUCCACCGGAGCUGAGGGCACAUCAGCACAGCAGUCCACCUCGCAGCAGAUGGCAGCUGAGCUGGAGGGACGGAUCAUUUCAGAGUCUAUGCAGCUCUCGGAGCAUGGCCUGAGCCCGCGGACAGCCCCUGGUGGGAGUGAAGGACAAAGCGCUGGUGACCUGGACCUGCCAGAGCAGGCCCGGUCCUCCAUGGAUACUGAGGGACCAAUUGAAUACAGUGACCUAACUAAUAAUAACCAUCUUCCUGACAGUACCAACUUCUAUAGUAAUGACAGCACCAGUGGGGAGUCGCGGAACAGGUAGAGAUUGAGUUGUGUGUUGGUGCUACCCUUGUACUGCUCAGCAGAGACCUGUACCUCACAGCUGGCAAGGAGCUGGAAGAGUAGGAACAUGUGGCUCUGGCAGGAUGCUGGUGGUUCAGAAGGCUUCUCUAUCCUGGGUGAAUGGGGAAGGAAUGAGGACUGCAAGGGAAGCCACGGGGAAGAAAGCGUACUUAACUUCCAACAUUCCCACUGCUGAAGAGUUAACAGGAAUAUGAACUGUACCAGCUGCACAUCAUGCAGACUUUGAAGCCCCUUGGGAUCCCCUGAGCUCAGCCCUAACCCUUCAAUUUGGUCAGUGUCAUCCUCUGUAAAGCUUCUUUCCUUUCCUUUUCCUGCCCUUUUAUGCCCAGGGGCUGAUCAGUAGAGUGGAGAAAGGAAAGGGGGCCUGCAGCAUCCUUCUGGAGACAGGCAGUCCUACUGGGCAAACCUGGGCGUGAUGCUCCAGCUCCAUUGCUGGAGUGGAGGAGUCUUCCAGGCCACAGCCCCACUCCGUGGCACAGCGCUGCUUCCCCCUCAGUCUGGUGUUCUGAGACCUCUCCUGCCUGCACUGUGGUGUUUUCUGGGAAGAACUGGGCUUUGCCAUAACCUGCAUGGCUCAGGAUCUUCUCACAGGUGGGGGAUCUUCCCUUUUUAGAGAGUUAGUGUAGUACUUGGCAGGAACCUAAGCAGGGCUGCUGUAUAGAUGGAUAGAGGGACAAGGGCUACUGCUCCCUAGUCAGGAUGCGGUUCACGCAAGGAUGUUCUAAACUGUGCCAAUAUUAACAUGAAUGAGCCAUCCCAGUGGUUUCAUGGUGCCAGGACUGAGCUGCACCUCCUUGGCAAGGGGGCAGGAAAUGUCUCUCAGCUCCAGGCCAGGGUGUGAGGUAUGGGUCUGUGAUGUAAGGUGUUGCAUGUGAAAUCUUGACCUUGUACAUGUAGUUUCUAGUGGAGAAUUCCAGGCUCUGAUAUUUUGUUUUUAGUCUCAAAUGUGAUUUUCCUUUUCGUUUGUAACUCUCCAUCCCUAGCAGGCUUGUGGAGGAAGGGCAGGGAGAGCGUGAGUGCUGACGAGGGAAACACCAAAGAUCAAUGUCAUUAAAAUAUGACAAACCCUUGCUUGA
RNA transcript from Strigops habroptila (Kakapo), 5931 nucleotides. It is a transcript of the gene named autophagy and beclin 1 regulator 1, with no coding region annotated. The transcript has 18 exons. The record is from RefSeq and is a predicted model, not a curated record. NCBI's taxonomy places the organism in Eukaryota, Metazoa, Chordata, Aves, Psittaciformes, Psittacidae.